CCUACGGGUGGCUGCAGUGGGGAAUAUUGGACAAUGGGCGAAAGCCUGAUCCAGCCAUGCCGCGUGUGUGAAGAAGGCCUUCGGGUUGUAAAGCACUUUCAGUGGGGAAGAAAGCCUUGGGGCUAAUACCCUCGAGGAAGGACAUCACCCACAGAAGAAGCACCGGCUAACUCCGUGCCAGCAGCCGCGGUAAUACGGAGGGUGCGAGCGUUAAUCGGAAUUACUGGGCGUAAAGCGCGCGUAGGCGGUCUGAUAAGCCGGUUGUGAAAGCCCCGGGCUCAACCUGGGAACGGCAUCCGGAACUGUCAGGCUAGAGUGCAGGAGAGGAAGGUAGAAUUCCCGGUGUAGCGGUGAAAUGCGUAGAGAUCGGGAGGAAUACCAGUGGCGAAGGCGGCCUUCUGGACUGACACUGACGCUGAGGUGCGAAAGCGUGGGUAGCAAACAGGAUUAGAUACCCUGGUAGUCC
This 466-nucleotide ribosomal RNA is filed under the name Vreelandella stevensii. RNAcentral describes it as "partial 16S ribosomal RNA". It matches the Rfam family "Bacterial small subunit ribosomal RNA", at positions 338 to 796 of the family's 1533-position model. Lineage: Bacteria; Pseudomonadati; Pseudomonadota; Gammaproteobacteria; Oceanospirillales; Halomonadaceae. The record is from RNAcentral.